RNAcentral lists this ribosomal RNA (1055 nucleotides) under Bifidobacterium breve. Its description in RNAcentral is "partial 23S ribosomal RNA". It matches the Rfam family "Bacterial large subunit ribosomal RNA", at positions 1 to 1031 of the family's 2925-position model. Lineage: Bacteria; Bacillati; Actinomycetota; Actinomycetes; Bifidobacteriales; Bifidobacteriaceae. The record is from RNAcentral.
CGUGUUGCCUGCAAGGGCGUAUGGUGGAUGCCUUGGCAGACAGGACCGAUGAAGGACGUUUGAGGCUGCGAUAUGCCUCGGGGAGCCGCCAACAGGGCUUUGAUCCGAGGAUUUCCGAAUGGGGGAACCCACCGGCCGUCAUGGGCCGGUACCGCCGUGUGCGGGGGGUACGCAGGGAAGUGAAACAUCUCAGUACCUGCAGGAAAGGAUAUUCCGUGAGUAGUGGCGAGCGAAAGCGGAUCAGGCCAAACCUUGCGCGUGUGAUACCCGUCGGGGGUUGCGCGCGGGGUGUAGAGGGAUCGCGUUUGCCGGCUCCGACGGGCCGGCCGUCAGUUGCAUAAAACCAUGUGCCAGGGGAACCGGGUUGAAUACCGGGCCGCAGAGGGUGAGGGCCCCGUACCCGAACGCGCAUGGUCUGGCGAUCGCGUCUCCCAAGUAGCACGGGCCCCGUGGAAUCCCGUGCGAAUCUGUCCCGACCGUGGGAUAAGCCUAAAUAUUCCUGUCUGACCGAUAGCGAACGAGUACCGUGAGGGAAAGGUGAAAAGUACCCCGGGAGGGGAGUGAAACAGUCUCUGAAACCAUGCGCCUACGAACCGUCGGGGCCCCCUUGUGGGGUGACGGCGUGCCUAUCGAAAAAUGAGUCUGCGAGUCAGUGGCAUGUGGCGAGCAUAACCCGUGUGGGGUAUGCGUAGCGAAGGCGAGUCUUAAAAGGCGUUUGAGUCGCGUGUCCUGGACCCGAAGCGGGAUGAUCUAGCCCUGAGCAGGUUGAAGCGCGGGUAAGACCGUGUGGAGGACCGAACCCACCUGGGUUGAAAACCGGGGGGAUGACUUGGGGCUAGGGGUGAAAGGCCAAUCAAAUUCCGUGAUAGCUGGUUCUCUCCGAAAUGCAUUUAGGUGCAGCGUCGGAUCGAUUACAUCCGGGGGGUAGAGCGACUGGAUGCUUGCGGGCCCAUAUCGGGUACCAACAGCAACCAAACUCCGAAUACCCGUGAUGCGUAUCCCGGCAGUGAGUCGGCGGGGGAUAAGCUCCGUCGUCGAAAGGGAAACAGCCCAGA